RNAcentral lists this long non-coding RNA (2379 nucleotides) under Sus scrofa (pig). RNAcentral describes it as "lncRNA (ENSSSCG00040029257.1)". Lineage: Eukaryota; Metazoa; Chordata; Mammalia; Artiodactyla; Suidae. The record is from RNAcentral.
CAGUGAGGAAACCUGUGCUCAUGGUGGAAGUUGUGCAUGAAAUCCAGAAAAAUGGAAUUUCCCCCAAAUAGCAAAUGCAGUAGAGGUGGCCUUGGCAGGGACCCCUGUGGCUUCCCUCCCGGUUUAUAACCCAACACCCUCUCCACGUGCUGUUUGCUUCAGCAGAACAACAUCCGUCUCCAGGCUCAGAACCCUCCAGUGACCAUGAUCGUGUCACUUCCUUUCCCCAGAUGGGCCAGCAACUUCACAGUCACAAGUUUUGCCAUCUGUGCAAAGACAAGUAUCAACACAUUCUCUCUCACUCCUGCUCCUGACACUUCCUAUACCUGAGAACAGCACUUAUGUGCGUGCCAUUUCUCCUUACCAGAAUGUAAGCACCUUAAAGUUAUCGCCUGGUUUAAUUAUCUUUUUCUUUCCUUUUUUUGCUCUUUUCUGGCCACACCCAUGGCAUAUGGAAAUUCCCAGGUGAGGGGUCGAAUCAGAGCUGUAGCCGCUGGCCUACACCACAGCCACAGCAACUGUGACCAAGCUGUGUCUGUGACUUACCACUGCUCAAAGCAACGCCAGAGUGUUAACCCACUGAGUGAGGCCAAGGAUCGAACCUGUAACUUCAUGAAAACUAUGUCAAGUUCUUAAUCCACUGAGCCACAACAGGAACACCUAAUCCAUCUUUAAAAAAACAAAACAAACAAACAAAAAAACACCCAAAAGAUCAAUGUUUCAUGUGUGUUCAACAGGUACAGACCUGGGUCUGAAGGAACAGCCACAGCCCCAAACCUUGGGAGCCUCAGAUGAUUAUAGGACUGGUACCCUUAGGAAAAAGGAAGAGUGUAUUUAAUAGAAAAUGAAGCAUCACCAUCUUUAAGUAUGAAGACUGCGUUUCCGAGAUCAUUUGGAUUAUGCAGUUUUAACGCUCCUCAUCUAACAUCAGUGCAUAUAGAUUUAGGGUCCACAAGCACACAAGAUGCAGGGGCUCAGAGAACUGCCUGAUGAACAUAGAUCAAGACCAUCAGUAAGUCUUCCCGAAGGAGGUUGUCCAGGUCCCAGCUUUAGGAAAGGAAAGAGCAAUGAGUAAAACUUACAUGGCAAAGAGCAACUUGCAGUUAUGAGACACGGACAAGAAUCACAGUCUGUGUGGACACUCUAGCAAUAAAACAAAAGGAAACAAAACAACGAAUCCUAGGUCUCCACACCUAAUUUAUGGUAGAAGGAAAGACGAGGGUGGAGGUCUAGAUCUGGAUGAUGAUGCUGGUGAUGGUUGGUGCAGAGGAAGGAAUGAAAGUGGAAGUAGCUGGAUGGGGAGAAACACUCAAAGCUCCCCAAGGGGAAAUGGUACUUGCAGCUUCAGAGGGAAAUGGGCCUUGCUUUGGCAAAUGUGAGCUCUUCCUAUGACCAAUUGAGUUGGCUUUUUUCCUCUCCCUCUGCAAACCCACCCUUACUCGCCCAGAGUAGACGUGUAAAGUAGGAAUACAAGGGACAUGUGACACUCAAGCUUACAUCUUCCAGGUCAAGGCGAGGAGACUGAGGCCCAAAGAGAUGUAGGGCAGCUGAAGUUUCUCCUCUUCCUUUUGGCUGAGCUUUGGUGGGAAGCUGAGUAGUCAGCCCCAAUGGAUGCUUACAGACCCUCAGUUAGAGCUGACUUGGGAAAUGCCCUUCUCUCCAGCUGGUAUGAAUUCUUAGAAACAUUGCAAUUAUAAGGCUUCAAAGGAUUUAAAAACCUGGCAUUUAGUAGCUUAUGCAGAGAACAAUUAUACACUUUUUUGAGGUCUUGAGGAUCUCUCAGUCUCUUUUGGUCUUCGUUUGCUUUCUAUUAAAAGAAACUCACUGCUUCUCAGGUCCAAGAAGGGGAAGUAAUAUGGACCUGUGGUAGUUAUGUUGGCAUACACUGUCCCUUUCAAUUUAUUUGAAUUCUCCCCAUAAUCAGGAGAGUAGAUAUUUUUAUCCCAAUUACACAAAUGAGGGAAAUGAUAUUCUCACAUAAACGCUCAGGUCACACAAUCAGGAAGGGGGAGAGAUGCAAUGUGAAGUCUAGCGUAACUGAUCAUAAGGCUCUGUGAUCUGUCUGCAAGAUAACAUAUCUUCUGGGAGGAUGGAGUUUUGGGGAGAGGUCAGGACUUGGGAAGUAUUGAGGAAUAGUGGCUUCUGAGACUAGGAGAGACUGCCGAUAAAUGCAGUUAUAUCUAAAAAGCUAAGAGGGAGGAUCGUUAAGGCUAUUGAGUACAGCCAAUUAUUUGUAUUUCUGUGUCUUUCAUUUCAAUUAUCCACAUGAUUUCCGGGCCCCAGGACCAUGCACAAUUGAGUUUUAUUAGAUAGUGUGUUUUAUUGACUAGAAGCAGACAAUAUGGAUUUUAUGAGAUAGAAAUAGCACUGUGCCAGACC